This 466-nucleotide ribosomal RNA is filed under the name uncultured bacterium. RNAcentral's name for it is "partial 16S ribosomal RNA". It matches the Rfam family "Bacterial small subunit ribosomal RNA", at positions 30 to 507 of the family's 1533-position model. The record is from RNAcentral.
CGAACGCUGGCGGCGUGCUUAACACAUGCACGUCGAACGGAAAGGCCCUGCUUUUGUGGGGUGCUCGAGUGGCGAACGGGUGAGUAACACGUGAGUAACCUGCCCUUGACUUUGGGAUAACUUCAGGAAACUGGGGCUAAUACCGGAUAGGAGCUCCUGCUGCAUGGUGGGGGUUGGAAAGUUUCGGCGGUUGGGGAUGGACUCGCGGCUUAUCAGCUUGUUGGUGGGGUAGUGGCUUACCAAGGCUUUGACGGGUAGCCGGCCUGAGAGGGUGACCGGCCACAUUGGGACUGAGAUACGGCCCAGACUCCUACGGGAGGCAGCAGUGGGGAAUAUUGCACAAUGGGCGGAAGCCUGAUGCAGCAACGCCGCGUGCGGGAUGACGGCCUUCGGGCUGUAAACCGCUUUCGCCUGUGACGAAGCGUGAGUGACGGUAAUGGGUAAAGAAGCACCGGCUAACUACGUG